GUUAGGAAUAUUGGACAAUGGGCGCAAGCCUGAUCCAGCCAUGCCGCGUGAGUGAUGAAGGCCUUCGGGUUGUAAAGCUCUUUAGUCCACGAAUAUAAUGACUGUAGUGGAAGAAUAAGCCCCGGCUAACUUCGUGCCAGCAGCCGCGGUAAUACGAAGGGGGCGAGCGUUAUUCGGAAUCACUGGGCGUAAAGCGUGCGUAGGCUGUUUUGUAAGUCAGAAGUGAAAGCCCAGGGCUUAACCAUGGAAUUGCUUUUGAAACUACAAGACUCGAAUUCGGGAGAGGAUAGCGGAAUUGUCAGUGUAGCAGUGAAAUGCGUAGAUAUUGACAGGAACACCAGUGGCGCAAGCGGCUAUCUGGACCGAUAUUGACGCUGAGGCACGAAAGCGUGGGGAGCAAACAGGAUUAGAAACCCCGGUAGUCC
RNAcentral lists this ribosomal RNA (425 nucleotides) under uncultured bacterium. Its description in RNAcentral is "partial 16S ribosomal RNA". It matches the Rfam family "Bacterial small subunit ribosomal RNA", at positions 354 to 796 of the family's 1533-position model. The record is from RNAcentral.